UUUUUUAAAUGUGUAUUUCGAUUCUAUUGUAAAUUCUUUUUUCUAUCUCAAUUCAGAACUACAAGCAGUUAUAGAUGAACUAAAACCAAAGUGUAUGAUCAUUCAUAAUUCAGCCACAUUUGACACAGCCAAUAUAUCUAAUAUGGAGGACUCACAGGGAGGAGAUACAAUGUCAACUUCAUAGUCGUUAUUUAAACAAUGUUAACUUCAUAGUCGUUAUUUACACAAUGUUAACUUCAUAUUGAAUCAUCUUGUACACAAUAUAUGCUUUACGUAAUAAAAAUAUGUUUUUUCAUAAUUCAAUUUUAUAUAUUAGACUGUUUUAAUUUUGUGGCUUGUGUGUGCUUUAAAGUCGUUAGACUGUGUGAUAGAUAUUACACUUGCUGGUGUUUUUUUUUUCUUUCUAUUGUUAAAAGCAAUAUGUAGUUUUUUUCCUUUCUAUUGUUAAAAGCAAUAUGUAGAUUUUUCUUAUCAAGUAAUCAUUUUAAAAAACAAAAUCAAUAGAAUUUUUACCUUUUGUUAUUUAAUAGAUGCUUCCACUUUUCACUUAGUAUGUAAAUUUUUAAUAAUAACGAAAUAUGUCCAUGUCUGACAUUUACCAAACCCAACCUCCUCAAAUAUGACAGUCAAUAGAUGUAGAAUGUAAAGUUUUGCAGGGAACCCGGAGUGUUGUUCUUCAUCUUGAAAGUCGCUGUCAAUAUACAGUCUUUGAUCCUGGUCCACUUUCAGGUUUCUUUUGGCAACGAAACAGUUUGUCCAAGGCUUUAAUUUUGUCUCUGCGUCUUUGACUUUUUUUUUAUAGCAUUCCCAAAUAAUCUGGCUACUAUUUUCCUGUUUACUCUUUAUAUAACUUUGAAGUCAAAAUUUUAAGAUGUUUAUUCAUUUAUAAACUAUUUCAUCAUAUUGGAAGCAACCAUCAUAGACCC
This 926-nucleotide long non-coding RNA is filed under the name Mytilus galloprovincialis (Mediterranean mussel). The record is from RNAcentral. Lineage: Eukaryota; Metazoa; Mollusca; Bivalvia; Mytilida; Mytilidae.